RNAcentral lists this long non-coding RNA (356 nucleotides) under Ananas comosus (pineapple). RNAcentral describes it as "long non-coding RNA (ACOM_LNC040490)". Lineage: Eukaryota; Viridiplantae; Streptophyta; Magnoliopsida; Poales; Bromeliaceae. The record is from RNAcentral.
AACAAAACGAUGCCGACAAAGAUCAAGGAGUGCGGUGGUAAAGGCGACGUCAAAAGACGAGAUCGAGAAUUGUGCGAGAAAGAGAGAGAGAGAGAGAGAGAGAGAGAGAGAUCACGCACAUGCGAAUAAGGUAGAAUGAGAAAAAUGGAGAGAACGGCCAGUUGGGAGGAAGAAGAGAGAUUAAAAAUUAUUUUAUUUAAUCAGCAUUGCAUAAUUGUACAUAAAACCUCUAAACGUUUUAAGAUGAACAAAAUAAUUCUCCUUUAUUAAAUAAAUAAAAAUAAAAAAUAUGGGAUAUUAUAGUUGAGGGAGUGUAGACAUGCAGUAGCAGAAUAAAACUGGAUUUUUUUUAUUAA